RNAcentral lists this unclassified non-coding RNA (181 nucleotides) under uncultured Ascomycota. Its description in RNAcentral is "sequence contains ITS1". Lineage: Eukaryota; Fungi; Ascomycota. The record is from RNAcentral.
CCGAGAUUUUUUCCUGCUUGUCAGGAAAUCUCCCACCCUUUGUGUACCAAAUUUUAUUACUUUGGUGAAGCGUUUCUGCAAAGAAACCAUCGACUCUGUAAAGGAGUGGGUGUGUCUUCACCAAAGGAACCAUUAACUCUAUUAUUUUAUCAAUUGUCUGAGUUUAUAUUUUAAAUAAACA